AGUGAACGCUGGCGGUAGGCCUAACACAUGCAAGUCGAACGGCAGCACAGUAAGAGCUUGCUCUUACGGGUGGCGAGUGGCGGACGGGUGAGGAAUACAUCGGAAUCUACUUUUUCGUGGGGGAUAACGUAGGGAAACUUACGCUAAUACCGCAUACGACCUACGGGUGAAAGCAGGGGAUCUUCGGACCUUGCGCGAUUGAAUGAGCCGAUGUCGGAUUAGCUAGUUGGCGGGGUAAAGGCCCACCAAGGCGGCGAUCCGUAGCUGGUCUGAGAGGAUGAUCAGCCACACUGGAACUGAGACAGGGUCCAGACUCCUACGGGAGGCAGCAGUGGGGAAUAUUGGACAAUGGGCGCAAGCAUGAUCCAGCCAUCGCGCGCGGGUGAAGAAGGCCUUCGGGUUGUAAAGCCCUUUUGUUGGGAAAGAAAAGCAGCAGGUUAAUACCCCGCUGUUCUGACGGUACCCAAAGAAUAAGCACCGGCUAACUUCGUG
Molecule: ribosomal RNA, 492 nt
Filed under: uncultured bacterium
Lineage: Bacteria
Description: partial 16S ribosomal RNA
Rfam family: Bacterial small subunit ribosomal RNA
Source: RNAcentral